This 260-nucleotide long non-coding RNA is filed under the name Mytilus galloprovincialis (Mediterranean mussel). The record is from RNAcentral. Lineage: Eukaryota; Metazoa; Mollusca; Bivalvia; Mytilida; Mytilidae.
AUUAAUUUGAAUGAAAUAAGCAAUUUUAACAACAAAACAAAAAUACUCCAAAAUGUUGUGGUUUGAAUUCGAUUUCCGAACGUGUCCAAAACAUUUGAUGCUAUAAAUCCUUGAUUGACACUUAUGUUCUUAAACGAAAGAUAAAUCGAAAAAAAACUGACAACGCCAUGGCUAAAAAAGAAAAAAAAACCAGACCAACAAUAGUACACAAAACACAACAAAGACAAAUAAAGACAAAUAAAGACCAAGCAACACGAACC